GUGAGGAAUUUUGCGCAAUGGCCGCAAGGCUGACGCAGCAACGCCGCGUGGGUGAUGAAGGCCUUCGGGUCGUAAAGCCCUGUCAGGUGGGAAGAAAGGCCUGGAGAGGAAAGGUUUCAGGUUUGACGGUACCACCAGAGGAAGCACCGGCUAACUCCGUGCCAGCAGCCGCGGUAAUACGGAGGGUGCGAGCGUUAUUCGGAAUUACUGGGCGUAAAGCGCGUGUAGGCGGGGGGACAAGUCUGAUGUGAAAGCCCUGGGCUUAACCUGGGAAGCGGAUUGGAAACUGUUUUUCUUGAGUACUGGAGAGGAAGGGGGAAUUCCCGGUGUAGAGGUGAAAUUCGUAGAGAUCGGGAGGAAUACCAGUGGCGUAGGCGCCCUUCUGGACGGUAACUGACGCUGAGACGCGAAAGCGUGGGGAGCAAACAGGAUUAGAUACCCGUGUAGUCC
RNAcentral lists this ribosomal RNA (450 nucleotides) under uncultured bacterium. Its description in RNAcentral is "partial 16S ribosomal RNA". It matches the Rfam family "Bacterial small subunit ribosomal RNA", at positions 354 to 796 of the family's 1533-position model. The record is from RNAcentral.